CCUACGGGUGGCAGCAGUGAGGAAUAUUGGUCAAUGGCCGUAAGGCUGAACCAGCCAAGUCGCGUGAAGGAAGAAGGAUCUAUGGUUUGUAAACUUCUUCUAUAGGGGAGUAAAGGUCUCCACGUGAGGAAAUUUGCAUGUACCCAUUGAUUAAGCAUCGGCUAAAUCCGUGUCAGCGGCCGCGGUAAUCCGGAGGUUGCGAGCGUUAUCCGGAUUUAUUGGGCUUAAAGGGUGCGUAGGUGGUUUGUUAAGUCGGCGGGGAAAGGUUGUGGCUCAACCAUAAGAUUGCAGUGGAAACUGGAAGGCUUGAGUGUGUUUGGGGUAGGCGGAAUGCGUGGUGUAGCGGUGAAAUGCAUAGAUAUCACGCAGAACACCGAUUGCGAAGGCGGCUUACUGGGCCAUAACUGACGCUGAAGCACGAAAGCGUGGGGAUCAAACAGGAUUAGAUACCCCAGUAGUC
RNAcentral lists this ribosomal RNA (460 nucleotides) under uncultured bacterium. RNAcentral's name for it is "partial 16S ribosomal RNA". It matches the Rfam family "Bacterial small subunit ribosomal RNA", at positions 338 to 795 of the family's 1533-position model. The record is from RNAcentral.